CUCCAAAGCCCCGGGCAGGGACGGGACACCAGGCAAACGUUACCGUGUCAUGCAGGGCUCGAGUGCUGCAGCCGCCUUCACGCCUUGCUAUCCGUCUAGUGACUCCUGCAGUGCCAGCAAAGGAGCGGCAAGCUUCAAAUGUCCUGAAAUUACCAGGUAAGCUGCGGGAUCGAGUAACCUUUAAAUGACUGGCGUAUCUCCAGUUCUUGAGACGCAUACCGCAAGCCUGUUUUUUGCUGCGUUGCCAUAAAGUAACGCGGGAGCUUAAGCAGGGAUUAGUGCCCUUCCCGACAGAGGUAAUGUGAAUUUUCCAACAAAAGCACUCCUACUCGCCGUCUUAAAAUAUUGCGUAUUGUAUCCUCAGAACUGGCCUUUUCCCUAAUUACAGCCUCGUUUUGUUCUCCUCAGCCAGCUUCUUAGAGCACAACCCGCUAUUUAAGCCUGCUUCCGUGCGUGACUUCAACCCAGUCUUUUUCUAAUGCCAUGCUUCUGGAAAAGGUGAAGUUAGUCCAGCUGCACCUCCAGUAGCUGUCAAUAGGAGAAGGUAUAAAUUAACCACAGCAGGCAUUUGCUGCCUGCUAUACUACAAAACAUCAGAUAUUAUCCGGAAGCGCUGCACGCAAUUUUGCAGCAGUUCAGUAAACAGCGUACAUGGCUGCAGUGCUCCGAGUGAGUCAGGGCCCUGGAAAUGAGCUGUUACUAACGAGCAAGGUACAAACAAGGCCUUUCUUUACUCCACUGAAGCACAUAAAGCAAUUUAUUGCUGGAAAUGCUUCUCUCUCUGCAAAAAGAG
Long non-coding RNA from Harpia harpyja (harpy eagle), 793 nucleotides. RefSeq lists it as uncharacterized. The transcript is spliced from 2 exons. NCBI's taxonomy places the organism in Eukaryota, Metazoa, Chordata, Aves, Accipitriformes, Accipitridae. The record is from RefSeq and is a predicted model, not a curated record.